Molecule: ribosomal RNA, 632 nt
Filed under: Russula puiggarii
Lineage: Eukaryota; Fungi; Basidiomycota; Agaricomycetes; Russulales; Russulaceae
Description: LSU rRNA
Rfam family: Eukaryotic large subunit ribosomal RNA
Source: RNAcentral
AGCGGAGGAAAAGAAACUAACAAGGAUUCCCCUAGUAACUGCGAGUGAAGCGGGAAAAGCUCAAAUUUAAAAUCUGGUGGUCUUUGGCCAUCCGAGUUGUAAUUUAGAGAAGCGUCUUCCGCGCUGGACCGUGCACAAGUCUCCUGGAAUGGAGCGUCAUAGAGGGUGAGAAUCCCGUCUUUGGCAUGGAUCCCAGGGCUUCUGUGAUGCGCUCUCGACGAGUCGAGUUGUUUGGGAAUGCAGCUCAAAAUGGGUGGUGAACUCCAUCUAAAGCUAAAUAUUGGCGAGAGACCGAUAGCGAACAAGUACCGUGAGGGAAAGAUGAAAAGCACUUUGGAAAGAGAGUGAAACAGUACGUGAAAUUGUUGAAAGGGAAACGCUUGAAGUCAGUCGCGUUGACCGAGACUCAACCUUGCUUUGGCUUGGUGUAUUUCUCGGCUGACGGGUCAGCAUCAAUUUUGACCCUCAGAUAAUGGCAAGGGAAAGGUGGCACCUUUUAGGUGUGUUAUAGUCCCAUGUCGCAUGUGAGGGUUGGGAUUGAGGAACUCAGCAUGCACCUCUGGGUGUCGGGGCUUUGGCCCACGUUACAUGCUUAGGAUGCUGGCAUAAUGGCUUUAAACGACCCGUCUUGA